RNAcentral lists this ribosomal RNA (292 nucleotides) under uncultured bacterium. RNAcentral's name for it is "partial 16S ribosomal RNA". It matches the Rfam family "Bacterial small subunit ribosomal RNA", at positions 505 to 796 of the family's 1533-position model. The record is from RNAcentral.
GUGUCAGCAGCCGCGGUAAUACGUAGGGGGCGAGCGUUGUCCGGAUUCAUUGGGCGUAAAGCGCGCGUAGGCGGCCCCGCAAGUCGGCCGUGAAAUCUCCGGGCUCAACUCGGAGGGGUCGGGCGAGACUGCGGGGCUCGAGGUGGGCAGAGGGCAGUGGAAUUCCGGGUGUAGUGGUGGAAUGCGUAGAGAUCCGGAGGAACACCAGUGGCGAAGGCGGCUGCCUGGGCCUGGCCUGACGCUGAGGCGCGAAAGCGUGGGGAGCAAUCCGGAUUAGAAACCCCGGUAGUCC